RNAcentral lists this ribosomal RNA (392 nucleotides) under Capnocytophaga gingivalis. RNAcentral's name for it is "bacterial SSU rRNA". It matches the Rfam family "Bacterial small subunit ribosomal RNA", at positions 28 to 423 of the family's 1533-position model. Lineage: Bacteria; Pseudomonadati; Bacteroidota; Flavobacteriia; Flavobacteriales; Flavobacteriaceae. The record is from RNAcentral.
GAUGAACGCUAGCGGCAGGCCUAACACAUGCAAGUCGAGGGAGAAGCCCUUUCGGGGGCAGAAACCGGCGCACGGGUGCGUAACGCGUAUGCAACCUACCUUUCACAGGGGGAUAGCCCGAAGAAAUUUGGAUUAAUACCCCAUAAUAUUAUUGGAUGGCAUCAUUUGAUAAUUAAAACUGCGGUGGUGAAAGAUGGGCAUGCGUCCUAUUAGCUAGUUGGAGUGGUAACGGCACCCCAAGGCUACGAUAGGUAGGGGUCCUGAGUGGGAGAUCCCCCACACUGGUACUGAGACAGGGACCAGACUCCUACGGGAGGCAGCAGUGAGGAAUAUUGGUCAAUGGUCGGAAGACUGAACCAGCCAUGCCGCGUGCAGGAAGAAUGCCUAUGGGU